Molecule: ribosomal RNA, 253 nt
Filed under: uncultured bacterium
Lineage: Bacteria
Description: partial 16S ribosomal RNA
Rfam family: Bacterial small subunit ribosomal RNA
Source: RNAcentral
UACGAAGGGGGCUAGCGUUGCUCGGAAUGACUGGGCGUAAAGGGCGCGUAGGCGGAUGGUACAGUCAGACGUGAAAUUCCUGGGCUCAACCUGGGGGCUGCGUUUGAUACGUGCUGUCUGGAGUUCGGAAGAGGGUCGUGGAAUUCCCAGUGUAGAGGUGAAAUUCGUAGAUAUUGGGAAGAACACCGGUGGCGAAGGCGGCGACCUGGUCCGAUACUGACGCUGAGGCGCGAAAGCGUGGGGAGCAAACAGG